AGCGAACGCUGGCGGCAGGCUUAACACAUGCAAGUCGAGCGGGCGUAGCAAUACGUCAGCGGCAGACGGGUGAGUAACGCGUGGGAACGUACCUUUUGGUUCGGAACAACUGAGGGAAACUUCAGCUAAUACCGGAUAAGCCCUUACGGGGAAAGGAUUUAUCGCCGAAAGAUCGGCCCGCGUCUGAUUAGCUUGUUGGUGAGGUAACGGCUCACCAAGGCGACGAUCAGUAGCUGGUCUGAGAGGAUGAUCAGCCACAUUGGGACUGAGACACGGCCCAGACUCCUACGGGAGGCAGCAGUGGGGAAGUCUUGCGCAAUGCGCGAAAGACGUGACGCAGCAACGCCGCGUGGGAGGAAG
This 360-nucleotide ribosomal RNA is filed under the name uncultured bacterium. Its description in RNAcentral is "bacterial SSU rRNA". It matches the Rfam family "Bacterial small subunit ribosomal RNA", at positions 29 to 413 of the family's 1533-position model. The record is from RNAcentral.